CGACGCACACCGGUAGGGUAACCCACCGGUAUGACGGAGCGGCGAACGGGUGAGUAACACGUGAGCAACCUGCCCCACAGAUCGGGAUAGCCCAGGGAAACCUGGAUUAAUACCGAAUACCCUCGAGUAACCACAUGAUUGUUCGAGGAAAUGCCUUUGUGCUGUGGGAUGGGCUCGCGGCUUACCAGCUAGUUGGUGGGGUAACGGCCUACCAAGGCAUCGACGAGUAGCUGGUCUGAGAGGACGAUCAGCCACACUGGGACUGAGACACGGCCCAGACUCCUACGGGAGGCAGCAGCAGGGAAUCUUGCGCAAUGGGCGAAAGCCUGACGCAGCAACGCCGCGUGGGGGAUGAAGGCCUUCGGGUUGUAAACCCCUUUCAGGAGGGAAGAAAUUGACGGUACCUCCAAAAGAAGCCCCGGCCAACUACGUGCCAGCAGCCGCGGUAAUACGUAGGGGGCGAGCGUUGUCCGGAAUCAUUGGGCGUAAAGAGCUCGUAGGCGGU
This 505-nucleotide ribosomal RNA is filed under the name uncultured bacterium. RNAcentral describes it as "bacterial SSU rRNA". It matches the Rfam family "Bacterial small subunit ribosomal RNA", at positions 63 to 579 of the family's 1533-position model. The record is from RNAcentral.